AUUGAACGCUGGCGGCACGCUUAACACAUGCAAGUCGAACGGCAGCAUGUUUUAGUAGCGAUACUAAAAUGAUGGCGAGUGGCGGACGGGUGAGUAAUGCAUAGGAAUCUGCCUUACAGAGGGGGAUAACGUUAGGAAACUGGCGCUAAAACCGCAUAAUACUCUGAGGAGGAAAGGAGCCUUUCGGGGUUCUGCUGUGAGAGGAGCCUAUGUCAGAUUAGCUAGUUGGUGGGGUAAAGGCCUACCAAGGCGACGAUCUGUAGCUGGUCUGAGAGGA
This 277-nucleotide ribosomal RNA is filed under the name uncultured bacterium. Its description in RNAcentral is "partial 16S ribosomal RNA". It matches the Rfam family "Bacterial small subunit ribosomal RNA", at positions 30 to 300 of the family's 1533-position model. The record is from RNAcentral.